RNAcentral lists this non-coding RNA (29 nucleotides) under Rattus norvegicus (Norway rat). Lineage: Eukaryota; Metazoa; Chordata; Mammalia; Rodentia; Muridae. The record is from RNAcentral.
UGUGACUCCUGUCCCAGAACGGUAUGAAC